CAUAUUUUGUUGACUAAAUCUGUGAAUAUUGUAUUUGUGGCAAGUAAGGUUUAUGAUUAGCAAGAGAAGGUGGAGUCCAGCAUGAGUGAGAGAUCGUGUGUGGAGAGGACGCAGUUCUCGAACAGGGCGCUGCAGGCCUUCGAGUCUUUCUUGGCGAACUUGGAGCCGAAGCUGAUGGCCAGAUCGUAGACGCCUCGGGAACUCUUGAGAUUGUCCUUGUUCUGGAAAGCAGUCUUGAAGGUGGACAUAGCUGGAGUCAGCUGAUCGGCGGACAUAGCCUCGAUUUCGCACAAGAGCUUAGCAACGCAACCAGCUGAAUCCAUCUGCUGAGCCACGGCAAUCU
RNAcentral lists this long non-coding RNA (343 nucleotides) under Penaeus japonicus. RNAcentral describes it as "uncharacterized LOC122242600". The record is from RNAcentral. Lineage: Eukaryota; Metazoa; Arthropoda; Malacostraca; Decapoda; Penaeidae.